GCAACAAAUAUCGCUGUAUUAGCCCUUCGGUGCCAGGACUAUCACAACUUCCCUGGAGUCUUUGAAAGGAAUGAUGCAGUUGCUUUUGGUGUGGCUGCUGCUCCGGCUGCUGCUCCUCUGGAAGCAGAAAAUGUUGGCGUCAAGCACUCUUUUGAUGUGACCGUCAGGACUUUCUUUCCAGAAACCUGGAUCUGGCAGCUUGCUCAAGUGGAUGGCACUGGAUCCACCAGAGUUCCUCUGAAGGUUCCUGACACCAUCACCACAUGGGAGACUGAGGCGUUCUGC
Long non-coding RNA from Sinocyclocheilus anshuiensis, 285 nucleotides. RefSeq lists it as uncharacterized. The transcript is spliced from 3 exons. Lineage: Eukaryota; Metazoa; Chordata; Actinopteri; Cypriniformes; Cyprinidae. The record is from RefSeq and is a predicted model, not a curated record.